This 666-nucleotide ribosomal RNA is filed under the name Pinnularia borealis complex sp. RNAcentral describes it as "partial 28S ribosomal RNA". It matches the Rfam family "Eukaryotic large subunit ribosomal RNA", at positions 41 to 774 of the family's 3401-position model. The record is from RNAcentral. Lineage: Eukaryota; Bacillariophyta; Bacillariophyceae; Sellaphorales; Pinnulariaceae.
UAUUAUUAAGCGGAGGAAAAGAAACUAACAAAGAUUGACAGAGUAAGGGCGACUGAAAUGUCAAAAGCUCAGCAUGUGAAUCAGCGUUUAUUUGUAUAGAUGCUGAAUUGUGGUCUUAGGGUUCUUGCAGCACUUGGUCCAGACCAUGUUUUUUGGAAUAAAAUAGCAAAGAGGGUGAAACUCCUGUUUGUCUGGACUUACGAAGCAAGAAUUAUUGAGUCGAGUUGUUUGGGAUUGCAGCUCAAAUACGGUGGUAAAUUCCAUCUCAAGCUAAAUACUGGCUGGAAACCGAUAGCGAAAAAGUACCGUGAGGGAAAGAUGCAAAGAACUUUGAAAAGAGAGUGAAAGAGUACCUGAAAUUGCUGAAAAGGAAGCGAACGAAGCUAGUGAACGCUGCGUCAUACUUUCCAAAUUGCUUGCAAUUUGGACGCUGUGGCCGGCCGAGUUGGGUUGGAUUGUCAUUUGUGAAAGCAGGUGAAGAAAAGUUUCCAUUUCCUUCGCCGUAUGCACAAGUGGCGAUUGAACUGAACAAAAUAGAUUUGUUUGCCCCGUCUAGAAACACGGACCAAGGAGUCUAACAUAUGUGCGAGUACUGGGGUAGCCAACCUCGGUGCGCAAUGAAAGUGUCAGAGGCUAGAAUGAAUUUGCAUAGUCCGCCGGCCUCGA